UACGUAGGGUGCGAGCGUUGCCCGGAUUUAUUGGGCGUAAAGGGCGCGUAGGCGGCCACGCACGUCCGUUGUGAAAUCGCUCGGCUCAACUGGGCGGGGUCAGCGGAUACGGUGUGGCUAGAGCAAGCUAGGGGGCAAUGGAAUUCCCGGUGUAGUGGUGGAAUGCGUAGAUAUCGGGAGGAACACCAGUGGCGAAGGCGGUUGCCUGGAGCUUUGCUGACGCUGAUGCGCGAAAGCGUGGGGAGCGAGUCCGG
Molecule: ribosomal RNA, 254 nt
Filed under: uncultured bacterium
Lineage: Bacteria
Description: partial 16S ribosomal RNA
Rfam family: Bacterial small subunit ribosomal RNA
Source: RNAcentral